Molecule: RNA transcript, 1120 nt
Organism: Cebus imitator (Panamanian white-faced capuchin)
Lineage: Eukaryota; Metazoa; Chordata; Mammalia; Primates; Cebidae
Gene name: ras-related protein Rap-1A-like
Exons: 1
Source: RefSeq, a predicted model, not a curated record
GGGAAGGGGGAGGGGGAGGGGAGGGGGGGAGGAGGAGGAGGAGGCGGCAGACCGCUGACAUCGUCAGUAUUUAAACAGACCACAUCAUGCAUGAAUACAAGCUAGUGAUCCUUGGUUCAGGAGGCGUUGGGAAGUCUGCUCUGACGGUUCAGUUUGUUCAGGGAAUUUUUCUUGGAAAUUAUGACCUAACCAUAGAAGAUUCCUACAGAAAGUUAAGUUGAAGUCGAUUGCCAACAGCGUACGCUCGAAAUCCUGGAUACUGCAGAAACAGAGCAAUUUACAGCAAUGAAGGAUUUGUAUAUGAAGAAUGGCCAGGGUUUUGCACUAGCAUAUUCUGUUACAGCUCAGCCCACGUUUAACAACUUACAGGACCUGAGGGAACAGAUUUUACGGGUUAAGGACACAGAAAAUGUUCCAAUGAUUUUGAUUGGCAAUAAAUGUGACCUGGAAGAUGAGUGAGUAGUUGGCAAAGAACAGGGCCAGAAUUUAGCAAGACAGUGGUGUAACUGUGCCUUUUUAGAAUCUUCUGCAAAGUCAAAGAUCAGUGUUAAUGAGAUAUUUUACGACCUGGUCAGACAGAUAAAUAGAAAAACACCAGUGGAAAAGAAGAAUCCUAAAAAGAAAUCAUGUCUGCUGCUCUAAGCCCACAGUAGCAGCAGCUUUGAGCCAGAUUACAGGAAUGAAGAACUGUUGCCUAAUUGGAAAGUGCCGGCAUUCCAGACUUCAGAAAAUAAAUCUGAAGAGGCUUCUCCUGUGUUAUAUAUUAUGUGAAGAAUUUAGAUCUCAUAUUGGUUUGCACAAGUUUCCUGGAGAAAAAAAUUGCUCUGUGAAUAUUUCUUGGAAAAUAAGACAAUAGUAUUCCUCCUUUGCAAUAGCAGUUAUAACAGAUGUGAAAAUAUACUUUAAUAUGAUUAUACAAAAGAUCAUGGAUGCAUUUCAAAUGUUAGAUAUUGCUGCUAUAAUCAAAUGAUUUCAUAUUAACCUUUUUAUCAUGAUUCCUCCCUAUCAAGCACUAAAAAGUUGAACCAUUAUACGUUAUAUCUGUAAUGAUAUUAUGAAAUGUCCCCUCAAACUCAUCCCAGCAGAUAAUUUUUUGAGUCAUUGACUUCAUUUUAUAUUU